Pogoniulus pusillus (Red-fronted tinkerbird) is the source of this 2221-nucleotide long non-coding RNA. RefSeq lists it as uncharacterized. The record is from RefSeq and is a predicted model, not a curated record. The transcript has 2 exons. Lineage: Eukaryota; Metazoa; Chordata; Aves; Piciformes; Lybiidae.
GCAGCAUCCAGUUUUGCUUGCCAGGAACAUCUCCAUCUACAGGUGUGAACUGGAGGAUGUCAGAAAUGUUUCAGCUGAAGGAAGAGGAGCAUCUGGCUGUGUAUAGAAGAAGGAAGAAUGUGUUAUUUGAGGUAUGAUAUCAAUAUCACAACACCUGGAGGGAAUAAAAGAAGAAACGCUUGAUAAGAGUGUGAUUUAAGAUUAAUAGCUGCCUGGUGAAGAUUCAUGGUAAAGCACAUCAUAGAGACAUUACUUGUCCACAGUGCAAAAUUGCUUUUUCAGUCACAACUGUUUGAAACAAAGCAGAAAGAGGUCUUACUCAAAGGAUGCUUAUCAGAUUUGCAUCUCUGCAUCUGCUUCACAUCUUAUGCUAAGUGGGAGAUUAUAGUGGUGCAUUCUUCAAGUGAUAAAGCUACUCUUCUUAUGAUUCUUUAGGUCAAAUCAGGGGAGAAAUAUUCAUAAAGGUGAUUAUAUACAUAUAUGAAAUAUUCAUGUAUGUGUGUAUAUGGCUGUAUUCCAUGCCAAACACAUUUUUUACUGACUUUCUGGGCUUAUGCUUCUAGACAGAAACACCAAAAUACCACAAAUGUCUGCUUCUGCUGUUGGUUGUGGCUCUUGGAGGCAGCUGCAACAGAUAUUUCUGCUGAAAAAUAUCAAACCUUAGUUUUGGAGGCAAAGGAAAAUGUCUUUAGCAAUCAAGAAGUGAUUACAUUCAGAUGAUUGUUUCUUCUAGCAAAUGACAGUGAUUAACACUAUGGCAAUGUUUGUCAAGAGUUUGGAAAUACAAACUUCUUUUGGUUCAUCUGUGUCUGUGCAGCACGAUUCUAAGCAGCUCAGUUUCUUCAAGACUCAGGAAGAGAAGCAACUAUAAUUGAUAUCUGCUAGUAUUGACACUCAGUCACUCCCACAGGGAGCUGGGCUGAUGCCAAAAAGUAAAAGCAGCUUAAAAUGUUGCCGACAAUCACAGCCUGCACUUGCUCCUCUUGCAUCUGGUCCUUGGAGAAACUGGAGAUGUUGACUACUCUGUCUGAAGCCUUAGACUCCUUUUGUGCUCUUUGGUGGUGACCUAUGAUGUGGGAUAAACAGGGAGAAGCAGUGCUGCUGCCACAUUUUCAUCUUGAUCAGACAAAAGGCAAUCCUGGAGUACUGUUGCUUAGAUUUCUGAAAAAGGUUUGGCUGAAUUUCCACAAGAGGACUUAGAGCACCAUAAAAAUUCUGAACCCAUUUGUCUCUUUCCUCUGGUGGCACUUUGAAAAAGCCUUUACAGAUCAAUUAUGGACUAAACAAGAAGCCGACAAAGGAUUUCACUGCCUUUAAAAUUGCUCAGUUAUCUCUGAAAUGCAGUAACAGAUGUUCUUUGAGCUGGCAUGUCAAGCUUUUAUCCUACUUAUUUCCCUGUGCUGAGGCUGUCUGGUCUCCUUGGAACAGGUUCUCAUUACAGUUAGACUCCAAUGUUCUUAACAAAGAUGUGAUCACAGUUUAGCAUGCACCAAACCACAUCAAUGCAUUUGAGGUUAAGGAAGAGCUUACGUGGUAACAGUUCAGCAAGCACUUAGAUCCACUGACAUCCAAAAAACUAAGCAAGUGCUUAAUCAGUGUUUUAAAUGAGAGUGUGUAAAAACAUCCCUUCUAGUCCUCAAAACCAAACUUCCCAUCACUCUAAUAUAUACUGAGUUUUAGAAUCUUAACCAAGUAUUUCUAAUAUGUCUUUAAAAAAACUUAUUUCUGAUUUCAUUUCUGCUCUGAGACAUAGAAGAACCAGAUGAAGUAAUGACUUCCAUAACCACCAACAAAAAAUAUUGAUGGUGCUAUCACCAUCUCUAAUUUGGUCAUUAGCACAGCAAAUUAUGUGCAAAUUGUACAUGUACAAGCAGUUCACAGACAGUUCUUCUAAUUCCAGCCACUCAAUGUGUUCUACAUAUGCCCUGUAUGGUGGAUGUGGGCGAAGUAGAUAAACAGUUGAGCGUCUGCAAACAUAGUGUUAGAAUCAGCAUCUUGCUAAAUAAUUGCUUUUUCAAGGGGUAUGAAUUAGCCUGUUUAUUCCAGCACAGAAGGAAAAGAACUGAAGAGUCCACUCUAUUUGGAUGGGAUCAUAAAUAUUAGUUUACAUAUAUGUUAAAUGCUCCGGGCAAGCACAAAAUUUUGAGUGGAAUUCUUUAUUUUUGUGAGACAUGAAAAUACUGUAAGGUUAGAUACCAGUAAAAGAAAGUUAUCUUUAAAA